RNAcentral lists this ribosomal RNA (237 nucleotides) under Nephroselmis pyriformis. RNAcentral describes it as "partial Eukaryotic large subunit ribosomal RNA". It matches the Rfam family "Eukaryotic large subunit ribosomal RNA", at positions 1406 to 1639 of the family's 3401-position model. Lineage: Eukaryota; Viridiplantae; Chlorophyta; Nephroselmidophyceae; Nephroselmidales; Nephroselmidaceae. The record is from RNAcentral.
AAGCCUUGGGGGUGACCCCGGGUCGAACGGCCUCUAGUGCAGAUCUUGGUGGUAGUAGCAAAUACUCAAAUGAGAACUUUGAGGACUGAAGUGGGGAAAGGUUCCAUGUGAACAGCAGUUGGACAUGGGUUAGUCGAUCCUAAGCGAUAGGGAAACUCCGUUUUAAAGUGCAUGAUUAUCCAUGCCGCCCAUCGAAAGGGAAUCCGGUUAAGAUUCCGGAACCAGGACAUGGAUCUU